UAGGGAAUCUUGCGCAAUGGGCGAAAGCCUGACGCAGCAACGCCGCGUGCGGGAUGAAGGCCUUCGGGUUGUAAACCGCUUUCAGUGGGGACGAAAACAGACGGUACCCACAGAAGAAGCCCCGGCCAACUACGUGCCAGCAGCCGCGGUAACACGUAGGGGGCAAGCGUUGUCCGGAUUUAUUGGGCGUAAAGAGCUCGUAGGCGGCUCAGUAAGUCAGGUGUGAAAACUCCAGGCUCAACCUGGAGACGCCACCUGAUACUGCUGUGGCUAGAGUCCGGUAGGGGAGCAUGGAAUUCCUGGUGUAGCGGUGAAAUGCGCAGAUAUCAGGAGGAACACCAGUGGCGAAGGCGGUGCUCUGGGCCGGUACUGACGCUGAGGAGCGAAAGCGUGGGGAGCAAACAGGAUUAGAUACCCCCGUAGUCCCUGAGCGGGCUGGCAAGGCGCAU
This 449-nucleotide ribosomal RNA is filed under the name uncultured bacterium. RNAcentral describes it as "bacterial SSU rRNA". It matches the Rfam family "Bacterial small subunit ribosomal RNA", at positions 355 to 825 of the family's 1533-position model. The record is from RNAcentral.